This 345-nucleotide ribosomal RNA is filed under the name Colophon stokoei. Its description in RNAcentral is "partial 16S ribosomal RNA". The record is from RNAcentral. Lineage: Eukaryota; Metazoa; Arthropoda; Insecta; Coleoptera; Lucanidae.
AUGGCCGCGGUAUUUUGACCGUGCAAAGGUAGCAUAAUCAUUAGUUUUUUAAUUGAAAGCUGGAAUGAAUGGUUGGACAAGAAAAUUUCUGUCUCUGUUUAAUUUUUUAGAAUUUUAUUUUUUAGUCAGAAAGCUUAAAUUUUUUUAAGGGACGAGAAGACCCUAUAGAAUUUUACUUAUAAAGGGGUUUUUAAUUUUUGGAAUUAUUUUUUUGAAAUUUAUUUUAUAUGUUUUGUUGGGGUGAUAGAAAAAUUUAAAUAACUUUUUUUUGUUUAAGUCAUUGAUUAAUGAAUAAUUGAUCCAUUUGUUUUGAUUAUAAGAUUAAAUUACCUUAGGGAUAACAGC